CCUACGGGAGGCAGCAGUGAGGAAUAUUGGUCAAUGGGCGCAAGCCUGAACCAGCCAAGUCGCGUGAGGGAUGACGGUCCUAUGGAUUGUAAACCUCUUUUGUCGGGGAGCAAGGCCCGCCACGUGUGGCGGGAAGGAGAGUACCCGAAGAAAAAGCAUCGGCUAACUCCGUGCCAGCAGGCGCGGUAAUUCGGAGGUUGCGAGCGUUAUCCGGAUUUAUUGGGGUUAAAGGGUGCGUAGGCGGAAGGUUAAGUCAGCGGUAAAAUGUCGGUGCUCAACACCGGCCUGCCGUUGAAACUGGUCUUCUUGAGUGAGCGAGAGGUAUGCGGAAUGCGUGGUGUAGCGGUGAAAUGCAUAGAUAUCACGCAGAACUCCGAUUGCGAAGGCAGCAUACCGGCGCUCAACUGACGCUGAGGCACGAAAGCGUGGGGAUCGAACAGGAUUAGAUACCCUUGUAGUC
RNAcentral lists this ribosomal RNA (460 nucleotides) under uncultured bacterium. RNAcentral describes it as "partial 16S ribosomal RNA". It matches the Rfam family "Bacterial small subunit ribosomal RNA", at positions 338 to 795 of the family's 1533-position model. The record is from RNAcentral.